CCUACGUGGGGCUGCAGUCGAGAAUCAUUCACAAUGGGGGAAACCCUGAUGGUGCGACGCCGCGUGGGGGAAGACGGUCCUCUGGAUUGUAAACCACUGUCCCCAGGGACGAAGAUGACGGUACCUGGGGAGGAAGCUACGGCUAACUACGUGCCAGCAGCAGCGGUAAUACGUAGGGAGCAAGCGUUGUCCGGAAUUACUGGGUGGAAAGGGAGCGUAGGCGGGAUGGCAAGGUGGGUGUUAAAUCUACCGGCUCAACUGGUAGUCGAACUCAAAAUUGCUAUUCUUGAGUGAAGUAGAGGCAGGCGGAAUUCCUAGGGUAGCGGUGAAAUGCGUAGAUAUUAGGAGGAACACCAGUGGCGAAGGCGGCCUGCUGGGCUUUUACUGACGCUGAGGCUCGAAAGUGUGGGGAGCAAACAGGAUUAGAUACCCUUGUAGUC
This 440-nucleotide ribosomal RNA is filed under the name uncultured bacterium. Its description in RNAcentral is "partial 16S ribosomal RNA". It matches the Rfam family "Bacterial small subunit ribosomal RNA", at positions 338 to 795 of the family's 1533-position model. The record is from RNAcentral.